RNAcentral lists this ribosomal RNA (237 nucleotides) under uncultured Campylobacterota bacterium. RNAcentral describes it as "uncultured Epsilonproteobacteria bacterium partial 16S ribosomal RNA". It matches the Rfam family "Bacterial small subunit ribosomal RNA", at positions 231 to 485 of the family's 1533-position model. Lineage: Bacteria; Pseudomonadati; Campylobacterota. The record is from RNAcentral.
CCAUAUCCGAUCAGCUAGUUGGUGAGGUAAUGGCUCACCAAGCCUAUGACGCGUAACUGGUCUGAGAGGAUGAUCAGUCACACUGGAACUGAGACACGGUCCAGACUCCUACGGGAGGCAGCAGUGAGGAAUCUUGCACAAUGGGCGAAACCCUGAUGCAGCAACGCCGCGUGGAGGAUGAAGGUCUUCGGGUUGUAAACUCCUUUUCUAAGUGAAGAAUAUGACGGUAACUUAUGA